AGUUUUAUAUAAAGGGCUUGUGAAGCUUAUCUCAAUAGAUUAUGCCAUGCCAUAUGAUAUGUUUCCUUCAAUUGUUGCCACUAUACUAAGAGAUGUUAGAAAAAAUAGAGAAUAUCUUGAAAUAAAAAUAUAUAAUGGUAUAGAAGAAAAGAAGAUAGGAAGCAUUGAGUAUCCUUUUCAAAUCUACAAUAUAACUGCUCUUGAGGAUGUGGAUAAUCAAGUAGGAUUUCGGCCA
This 235-nucleotide long non-coding RNA is filed under the name Elaeis guineensis (African oil palm). Its description in RNAcentral is "long non-coding RNA (EGUI_LNC041355)". Lineage: Eukaryota; Viridiplantae; Streptophyta; Magnoliopsida; Arecales; Arecaceae. The record is from RNAcentral.